CUUUGCAGCACUGAAAGGGAGGUAAACCACCAAGCAAUUAUUUUCCGUCUACUCAUUGGUAUGAUAUCGUCAAAGUAAUCUUCUUGCUUUCAUUUCCCUGAGUUGGGUCUGGUGCUGAGUUUGAAAGAAGAAUGGAGGCAGGCGCUGACCUCCAUCAACAGUAAGUGAGUGCUCCCACAAGUUUGUCCCUUUGAAUUAGCAGUCAUAGGAUUAAAGUCCUUAUGUGCAUGUGCACUGACGGUAUUCUUUUGGUGCUCUUAGAUUUGCAUCAAUAGCAGAUUGUAAAAGUUGUAAUGUUGAGUGUAACUUGAUACAAAGAAUUGAGAAGGCUGUGUCUACUGUGUUGUGGUUCUAUUUUCUAAAAGCAGUUACUUACAGUAAAUUUGUUCUGUAAUGGUUCUAUUACGUUAACCAUUUUUUAGUUAUAAAAUUUAUGUGCCGACAUUAGCCACAAAGAAUGGCGAUGAACUUUGCCAUGAAAAUGUUCAGGCAUGGAUUUUGUCUUUUUGUCAGUUUUUUUAGCUCAUUUUUUUAUUUAACCAUUUUUUGCCAUUGACCACUAUGACCUCCAACAUCAGGAAAUCGCUCGCAGUUGAGAACAAAAAAUUCUUAAAUUCCCCAUGCCCCGUGCCCUAAAAGAUUCGCUUCCCGUCUCCUGUACUUGUCAAAGGUAAAUGACUGUUUCCCGCCAAAAGGACUUACUGGCUCUUCCUUUAUUACUGUCCUUUUACUGUCUCCUUUCCUCUUCACAGAGAGAGAGAGACGAACCAAAAUAGAGAGGCAGGGCAGAGAUGAAGGGCGCAUCCAAGGUGAUAGUGGGAGCAACACUGAUAAUGGUGGUGAGUCUUGCCAUUGUGUUAGGUCUCGUGCUAGUGCUCUUAAUUGAGCUCUACUGCUCUCUCUUACUCCGCAGGCGUCGGCUCAGGAACACCACCACCAACAUUUCUUCUUCUCUGCCUACACAAACCCAAGAACAAUCAGCGAGCCCUCUCAGUAGCUUCUAUGCCCAGGGAGUUCUUGAUGCUCCAAGAAGCUUGCUCUUCCCUGACGUUUCUUCAAAAGAAACCAAGGUAGAAAUGAAGAACCAAAGCUUUCAACCCCAUCACAGUGUCCUUGAAAUUCAUACCCAAGAACCAAACACAAGCCCUCAUUGUCUAGGCAUCAUAUCUCAAUCCUCCCCACCAACUCCCUUCAUCACGUCACCUCGGCCAACUCAAGAUACCGCAGCUCAAGUUGGUUCCAACAGUGCUCGUAAUGACAAAGCUCGUGGUGGUAGCAUUGGCGGGGAGCAUUUUGUGUACAUAUCCAAUCCCAUUUACGACAACGAUGCAAGCAGGCUGAGCAUGGCAGAUACUCCGUUUGAAACUCCGGAUACAUCGCCUUCGCGACUAGAAUCAGGUGGUGGUUCUUCCAGCGAAGACGAGAUAGCCCCGGCAUCACCAUCUAGUCCACAGCCGGUGCCAAACACGCCUCCAUUGACUCCAAUGAAGAAGCUCCCGGCAGAAGCUUGUUCAGUUUCUUUGAGGGAUGCCAGGUCGCUUGGCACGUCAGGUAGUGACUCUGUUAGUAACAAUGGCCAUUCGUCAUCAUCUUCAGGGUCUGCAUGUACAUCUCCUUCAUGGUGAUUUCGGAAAAUUUCUCGCAAAGUUCUCUACUUGUGGGUAAUUUUGCUUUUCCUUUUCUAAUUUCCUUCUUGGGUGAGCUUUCGGAGUUGGUUUUUUUUUUUUUUUUUUUGUGAAUACAGUAGAGAUAGUACCAGUGCAGCUGCAGCAUGUCUUUUUUGUUUCUUUGCAGGCGUGACCAUGGCUCGGUCACCCAGGCCAGGCCACCUCCAUCAACAGUAAGUGAGUGCUCCCACAAGUUUGUCCCUUUGAAUUAGCAGUCAUAGGAUUAAAGUCCUUAUGUGCAUGUGCACUGACGGUAUUCUUUUGGUGCUCUUAGAUUUGCAUCAAUAGCAGAUUGUAAAAGUUGUAAUGUUGAGUGUAACUUGAUACAAAGAAUUGAGAAGGCUGUGUCUACUGUGUUGUGGUUCUAUUUUCUAAAAGCAGUUACUUACAGUAAAUUUGUUCUGUAAUGGUUCUAUUACGUUAACCAUUUUUUAGUUAUAAAAUUUAUGUGCCGACAUUAGCCACAAAGAAUGGCGAUGAACUUUGCCAUGAAAAUGUUCAGGCAUGGAUUUUGUCUUUUUGUCAGUUUUUUUAGCUCAUUUUUUUAUUUAACCAUUUUUUGCCAUUGACCACUAUGACCUCCAACAUCAGGAAAUCGCUCGCAGUUGAGAACAAAAAAUUCUUAAAUUCCCCAUGCCCCGUGCCCUAAAAGAUUCGCUUCCCGUCUCCUGUACUUGUCAAAGGUAAAUGACUGUUUCCCGCCAAAAGGACUUACUGGCUCUUCCUUUAUUACUGUCCUUUUACUGUCUCCUUUCCUCUUCACA
RNAcentral lists this long non-coding RNA (2431 nucleotides) under Citrus sinensis (sweet orange). RNAcentral's name for it is "long non-coding RNA (CSIN_LNC001781)". The record is from RNAcentral. Lineage: Eukaryota; Viridiplantae; Streptophyta; Magnoliopsida; Sapindales; Rutaceae.